RNAcentral lists this long non-coding RNA (2364 nucleotides) under Centruroides sculpturatus (bark scorpion). RNAcentral describes it as "uncharacterized LOC111626167". The record is from RNAcentral. Lineage: Eukaryota; Metazoa; Arthropoda; Arachnida; Scorpiones; Buthidae.
AAAGAAAGCUGAGCCCGAAAGAAUCCCGGUGGCAGCUUCUUAAAUUGCAUGGCUUGGGAAUCCGAUUCAAACACCACUGGUAAAACUAACCGAAACGAUUUACUAUUUUCGUGUAAUUGAUUUUGUUAAUUUUGUAUAUAAUUAUGUGUUUGUUUAUGGGGGGAAAAAACGAAUUUAAAAAGAUCUUGCAGAUUAUUUGGAAUAAAAAGUAAUUGAGAAUUUAUGUGAUUUUUAAGGGAGGCUUUUUUUGUCGUCCGUUCCGUUCGCACGAAUGCCAUAAUUUAUCAAGAAACACGUAUUCGUCGAAUUUGGGCUUUUCGAUUGCGGCGUGCUUAGAAAAAUAUGCAUAUCUGACCCGUGUCCAAAUUAUUUUUAAUAAUAAAAUUAAAUUGUAUUUUGCAUAUAUAUAAAAUGCAUUGAAAAAUUAAUUUUGCUACCUACAGUUAAGCUUUGAAAAUUGAGUAUCUAUUAUUAUAUUAAAUAAAAACAGUCGAAACUUAAAAUGAGCAAUUAAAAAUUUAUCUUUAUUUAAUUAUUAAUUAUAGUAUCUUAUUUCAUAAUUUUAUUUAAACUAUUUAACUAACUGUCAACAUAAUUAUUUUAAUUAUUAUCAUAAAUUUUUAUAUUGGAUUUAUAUUUCACUCAUUGAAGAAUUACAAACAGAAACCAUUUUAAAAUUUCCAUUAGUUUAUAAAAAGAAAAAUUGUAUAUAAAUAAGUAAAUUUAAAUUUAUGGUUGUAUCAUAAAUUUGUUUUAAUAAAUGGAUUUUGUUUUGAUAAUUUGUGUCAGUUCUAAAUAAACAAUUCACUUUUCAUUUAAAUAAUUCAUGUUAUAGCAUAAUAAAUUGGAUAAAAUUGUCACGAUGACAUGAAAAUAAACAAAAGAACAGUUUUAUCACUAAUAUAAUUACUAUAAAUUUCUAAAUAUUUUACAAAUUUUGAAUUUAUUAUACCAACAUUGAAAUUACAAUGAUCUUUCAUUCUUGAAAUUAAGAUUAACAAAUUCAUCUUCCUGUUACUUUAAUCUUAAUAAACAUAAUCUUGCGAGAGUGAACAGAAAUAGAUAUUGGAAACGUUUGUUGUUUUUUUUAAAUUUGCCAUCUUUUUGUAAGACAUUAAUUGGACUAAUAAAUAAAGCUACAAUACUAUAGGCAAUAAUGCUUAUACCCAUAUGCAGACUUCUUAAAUUUCAAGCCAAUUUGUUUGAGGAUAUAUAAGAUUUAAAUGAAGAAUUUUGUCUUUAAGUAAAUUAAUUAAAAAUAUAUAUAUAAAACUAAUUUAUAAUAACAGCAAUUACUGUAUCGGUACAUAUGUAAUUUGCAAUGGUGUAUGCCCCUUCAGAAAAUUGUUAAAACAAAUAAAACUUUCAUACAAUUUACUCCUCCAUAUAUAUCGCACCUCUGGAGCAGCCAUUUAAAGCAUGGCAUUUAUUGCAUUUUAAGUAGUUUAUGAGAUGUUAUCUCGAUUAUUAAAACAUUAAAACUACUACUUUACCAUAAGCUACUACUAUGACAGUCUGUCGUAGUAGUAGCUUAUCAUUUGAAGAUAAAAAUUGAAAAGAUGCAUAUCAAACAAUAAAUUCUUUGUUAUAUUGUUUAAUUUCUGUUUUAUUAAUAUAAUAAUAGUUUAUUUUAGCAACUAUUAAGAAAAAGUAAAUAGAAAAUAAUCUAAACAUCCAUAAUAUUCAAUGACACUAAGCAAAGAGGUUUUAAUAUAUUAAUUUUUUACCAUCCAAACGUCCUCGUUUGCUAAUCGACGAGUUAUGUCCGGACGGCAAAUAAAAUUUGACGUAAAGUAUUUUCCACGAAUUAUCAUUUGAUGAACUGGAGAAAUUUUGUUUAGACCCUAUACCUACGUGGCUAGACUUGAAGUAUGCAGUCGUAUUAUGGCAAUUUUUCAUAGAGGAAGUAGUUCAAGAAGGAUUAACCAAUCCUACUCCAGCUUGUUGUAAUCCAAAAAAAAAGAGAGUUUUAUUGAAGAGGCCAGAAUUUUUGCUAUAAUUCGUAAGAAAAUAAUUAAAAGCAAAGAGACUUAAACUGCUUCAAAAAUGAAUUAUGUUGUGGGAGAAUAAGGCAUUUAAAUGAUGAAAGUAUUUUAUCUUCUCAAGAAUAUUAUUAUUUACAGUAUAUUACAGGCCAGAAGGAAAGAUGACAGCAUGCAAAAGAAUGGAUGUGUGGUCAAACGGUAUCAUUUUAAAUCUGUGACUAUCAAACCUAAGCCAAAAGGUACUUGGUAUUAGUGUAGUAACUAUCAAAAAUCUUAAAUUAUAAUUUACAUAUAUUUAUUAUAAAAACAAGUUAAAUAAAUUUAAUGUUUAAAAAAUUAGUCUAUACACAGAUAAGGAACAGGUGUACAGGCUCUCUGU